Long non-coding RNA from Colossoma macropomum (tambaqui), 442 nucleotides. RefSeq lists it as uncharacterized. Lineage: Eukaryota; Metazoa; Chordata; Actinopteri; Characiformes; Serrasalmidae. The record is from RefSeq and is a predicted model, not a curated record. The transcript has 3 exons.
CGGAGACACACAGGGAGGACUACACAUUACAAAGAAAAGUAGAGUUCAUCUCUGAGGAGAACAAAAGCAAACAUAUAGAACUGUAAAGAUAGCAGCCUGGAGUUUAUGUGAACAUCAGUGAAGCUGAAGUUCAGUUCAGGAUGAAGAUCCUCCUCAUCUUCACUCUCUGCCUGAUCUCAGCAUCCUACAGGAGCACAUCAACAGCACCAACAACAGCGUCAUACAGUACCACUUCAGCAGAACCACCAACAACAGCAUCUUACAGUACCAUUUCAGCAGAACCACCAACACCAGCAUUAACAGAACCAAUAGCAACAUCUUACAGGAGCACAUCAGGCAAAACAGCACACACUGGACAUUUCACUUCCUCUGUCAUCAUCACUGUAUGUGUCUGUGUAGCUCUGCUGCUUAUUGGAGGAUCAGCACUGAUCUACAAACUGAG